Molecule: ribosomal RNA, 497 nt
Filed under: uncultured bacterium
Lineage: Bacteria
Description: partial 16S ribosomal RNA
Rfam family: Bacterial small subunit ribosomal RNA
Source: RNAcentral
GAUGAACGCUGGCGGCGUGCCUAAUACAUGCAAGUCGAGCGAACGGACGAGAAGCUUGCUUCUCUGAUGUUAACGGCGGACGGGUGAGUAACACGUGGAUAACCUACCUAUAAGACUGGGAUAACUUCGGGAAACCGGAGCUAAUACCGGAUGAUAUUUUGAACCGCAUGGUUCAAAAGUGAAAGACGGUCUUGCUGUCACUUAUAGAUGGAUCCGCGCUGCAUUAGCUAGUUGGUAAGGUAACGGCUUACCAAGGCAACGAUGCAUAGCCGACCUGAGAGGGUGAUCGGCCACACUGGAACUGAGACACGGUCCAGACUCCUACGGGAGGCAGCAGUAGGGAAUCUUCCGCAAUGGGCGAAAGCCUGACGGAGCAACGCCGCGUGAGUGAUGAAGGUCUUCGGAUCGUAAAACUCUGUUAUUAGGGAAGAACUUAUGUGUAAGUAACUGUGCACAUCUUGACGGUACCUAAUCAGAAAGCCACGGCUAACUACGUG